UACGUAGGGGGCGAGCGUUGUCCGGAGUUACUGGGCGUAAAGCGCACGCCGGCGGUCUGCUCAGUUUGGAGUGACAGUUGGUGGCUUAACUGCCAAAGUGCUUCGAAAACUGACAGACUUGAGGGCUUCAGAGGGACACGGAAUUCCGGGUGGAGUGGUGAAAUGCGUAGAGAUCCGGAGGAACACCAAAGGCGAAGGCAGUGUCCUGGGGAGUACCUGACGCUCAGGUGCGAAAGCCAGGGGAGCGAACGGG
This 253-nucleotide ribosomal RNA is filed under the name uncultured bacterium. Its description in RNAcentral is "partial 16S ribosomal RNA". It matches the Rfam family "Bacterial small subunit ribosomal RNA", at positions 524 to 776 of the family's 1533-position model. The record is from RNAcentral.